UCGCUACUACCGAUUGGAUGGCUUAGUGAGGUGGAGGGAUUGAGGUCUGGAGUUGGCUUGUCUGACUUCGGGCCGCGAGAACUUCAUCAAACUUGACCAUCUAGAGGAAGUAA
This 113-nucleotide ribosomal RNA is filed under the name uncultured eukaryote. Its description in RNAcentral is "partial small subunit ribosomal RNA". It matches the Rfam family "Eukaryotic small subunit ribosomal RNA", at positions 1676 to 1785 of the family's 1831-position model. The record is from RNAcentral.